Molecule: ribosomal RNA, 481 nt
Filed under: uncultured bacterium
Lineage: Bacteria
Description: bacterial SSU rRNA
Rfam family: Bacterial small subunit ribosomal RNA
Source: RNAcentral
GAUGAACGCUGGCGGCGUGCCUAACACAUGCAAGUCGAACGAAGCACUUUUUUACGAUCCCUUCGGGGUGACGAAUUUGUGACUGAGUGGCGGACGGGUGAGUAACGCGUGGGAAACCUGCCUUGUACCGGGGGAUAGCAGUUGGAAACGGCUGCUAAUACCGCAUAAGCGCACAGAGCUGCAUGGCUCGGUGUGAAAAACUCCGGUGGUAUGGGAUGGGCCCGCGUCUGAUUAGGCAGUUGGCGGGGUAACGGGCCCACCAAACCGACGAUCAGUAGCCGGCCUGAGAGGGCGACCGGCCACAUUGGGACUGAGACACGGCCCAAACUCCUACGGGAGGCAGCAGUGGGGAAUAUUGCACAAUGGGGGAAACCCUGAUGCAGCGACGCCGCGUGAGCGAAGAAGUAUUUCGGUAUGUAAAGCUCUAUCAGCAGGGAAGAUAAUGACGGUACCUGACUAAGAAGCCCCGGCUAACUACGUG